UGCCUGGUGUUCUGUUCUUGCUGUUUCAUGUUUUCAGACAGCGAGUCCUGAGAAGGCGUUAUCCUUUCCCUACACCUGUAGGAUUGUCUCCAGUUUGUUUUGUCUUGGAAAACUCCAGGCCUUCUGCUGUGUUGCCCUCCGGUUGCCUCCUUUCCCGCUCAGCUUGGAAGGUGUCUGUUGAUCAGCUCUGUUCUGGCUACUGCAGUUUCUACACCUACAUCAAGAUCCACUUCUCUCCUGGCCACUGAAGCAACGCUUGACAUCCAGUCCAGCUCUGCCCUCCUUCAGGUUGGGGAAGAGCUAACUGGGCAUCUCUCCAGGUGCUGGCAGAACAGCUCAGGCAAUCAAAGGGCUAAGCGUUUCUUUUGGCAUGUGGAAUCUUAGCUCCCUGACC
Capra hircus (goat) is the source of this 394-nucleotide long non-coding RNA. RefSeq lists it as uncharacterized. NCBI's taxonomy places the organism in Eukaryota, Metazoa, Chordata, Mammalia, Artiodactyla, Bovidae. The record is from RefSeq and is a predicted model, not a curated record. The transcript has 3 exons.